RNAcentral lists this ribosomal RNA (972 nucleotides) under Triticum aestivum (bread wheat). Its description in RNAcentral is "partial small subunit ribosomal RNA". Lineage: Eukaryota; Viridiplantae; Streptophyta; Magnoliopsida; Poales; Poaceae. The record is from RNAcentral.
AUGGCGCAACCACCCGAGCUAGCUCUCCCUCUCCUCCCGAUCUCAGCCGCCAUGAGGCGACCGACCCCAGCGACGCUCGAUCCGGUGCUACACUGGCCGCCGGUCAACGCCAGCGAGGAUUUGCGGCCAGAGCGCCGCACGGGAGGCCUUUGUCGAGCGAAGCCCUGGAUCACGGUGUUCCUGCGGAGGGACAGGGCGGCGGAUUCGAGGAUGGGCGCGGCAGGCGGAGCUCUGUCCUCCUUUGUCCUCUCCCAUCGAGCGCUGGAUCGAAGAAGCAUCUGCUCCCCCCACCUCCAUCCCGUCUCCUCUCCUACAUCGGCCACACCACGCCGCGCUCAUGGAGCGGAGUCACAGAAGCACGACGCUGACUGCGGUGGAGUGAGGAGAGCUCGUCCGGUCGUCUUGUCCCUCCAAGGCAGGAUCAGGCCCAACCUCCACGCCACCAGCUCCACCCCAUAUCUCUUGCCUUUCCGGUUAGUUUCAGGUCCGCUUAAAAGUUUCAGGUUAGCUCAUCUAAAAAGCAGUUUCAGGUUCCAUGUUUCUGACAAAACAAUGGCUGAUUUGCUAGCUGUAGAGCGCAAGCUAAGUGAUACAGGCUCUGCUUUGAAAACCAACGGGUCUUUUCUUUUGCAAGCUUUUGCUAUAGUUGAAUUACUCAAUAUCUGGUUCAAUGGUGCCUUCAGCAAAGUCACCGAGGCUGGUCAUGUUGUCGGCUCAAGAACAACAGAAAAGUUCCAGAUAGUUGUGUCAAAUAUAUCAGCCAAAUGCACACAUGAUUCUCAAGUUUGGGAGCUAACCAAUCAUAGUUCUAGCGUUAGCUUUUGGCAACAUAAGUGGCAUUUCGGAAGGGACCUGCUGUCGUUGCUUGAGCUUGUUGAGUUUGUUCUGGGAGCUCCUCUUCCUGGGGAAAAUCUGUUGGAAACCUUGAGAAAGCAUCUAAUGUUGGCUGUGUCAUCAAGCUUUGGCUUGUAA